GAGGAUUAUCAUUCCCUUUAACCAGAUUUCAGAAAACUUAAAGAAAAAGGAGAGAGAAAGAAAGAAAGAAAUCCAUAAUUUAAUCAGAAAUCAAAACCACACCCACUUUUAAGUAGUCUUUUAUUUACUUGUAAAGAGUGAGAGAGUUCAUUUUUUAUACCAGUCGAAAACGACACAGCUAUCAUGUCAUCUAUCAUAUAAUGCAUUUUCUUGCAUAAGGAGGUUGGCUGCUGAGGCCUGAGGUGAUACAAAACAAAAGAAAAGAAAAUGUUGUGUAGAAAGAAAUUGAGUUCUGAUGACGAUACAGGAGGAUCUGUGCCAGUGUAUCUUAAUGUUUAUGAUCUCACUCCAAUUAAUGGCUAUGCUUAUUGGCUUGGGCUUGGAGUCUAUCAUUCUGGGGUUCAAGUUCAUGGUGUUGAGUAUGCUUUCGGGGCUCACGAGUACUCAACAACAGGAAUUUUCGAAGGAGAACCAAAACAGUGCGAUGGAUUUACAUUUAGAAAGACAAUUUUGAUUGGAAAAACAGAAAUGGGGCUUGCAGAGGUAAGGGCAGUAAUGGAGGAACUUGCAGAGGAAUAUAAAGGAAAUGCUUAUAAUUUGAUCACCAAGAACUGUAACCAUUUCUGCAAUGAUGCUUGCAUUAGACUUACUGGUAAUCCCAUCCCAAGCUGGGUUAAUCGCCUUGCAAGAAUUGGUUUUCUAUGCAAUUGUGUUCUUCCUGCAAAUUUAAAUUCAACAAAAGUCAGCAACCAUAAAAUGGAAGAGAAGGUUGAUGAAACAGAGAAGGAAAAAUUGACAAGUAUGUCCAAUAGAUUUACAUCAUCUUCUAAUUCAUCAUCUUCUUCUUCAUCAUCUCCUUCUGGAAAUCAAAUCCGUGGUAGAAGUAGAAGCAGACGUGCUCUUCCACCAUCUUCUCCCUUGAUUUCUUCAUCACCUUGAUGAUCAUAAAUUUCAAGAAUUGAUUUUUUUUUUCUUUUAUUUCUUGAAAAUUUCCAAAGAAGGGGAGAAAGUUUUUAUUUAUAUUUUCCUUUUAAUUUUUUUUUGGGUUCAUUAUUUUCUGGGAUUAUUUAUGGUGCUAACAUUUUCUUGAGUUAUGCAGGCAUGCAGCACAUAUACGUACGUGUGUAU
This 1128-nucleotide unclassified non-coding RNA is filed under the name Hevea brasiliensis (rubber tree). The record is from RNAcentral. Lineage: Eukaryota; Viridiplantae; Streptophyta; Magnoliopsida; Malpighiales; Euphorbiaceae.